GAUUCAGAGAUUUUUCCAUAAAGUAAUGGAAGAAGCAAAGGAAAGAGAGAAACUGACGCUGGUGAGUCGAAAAUCCUAUUUCGGAUUACCCACUUCUUUCCCCAACUGUUUGCCCGUUUACGCUUAUCUCAAAUUCUCCAACACUCUAUUUGAUUUGGAUUUCAAUCUCAUUAACCCUGAUUCUGAUCAAAUACCUUAUGUCGAAUACGGUACAUACGUAGCCUACAACAAUGAGAAGGGUGGAGUUAUAUGUAGUUUAAUCAAAGAUGGUUUCGUGGAUUUGGAUUCUCAAGUUCGUGGUAUACCUGAAUGGAUAUCAGCAAAGGCUAUGGUUGAUUCAUGGCUUGCAGAUGCCAUCAUUUAUAAACUUUGGGUGGGUUCUGAUGGAACUUUUGCACACAAGAUCUAUUAUUCAGAUCUCCCGUGGCCACUUGGAAAAAUCUUGU
This 446-nucleotide long non-coding RNA is filed under the name Capsicum annuum. Its description in RNAcentral is "long non-coding RNA (CANN_LNC014057)". The record is from RNAcentral. Lineage: Eukaryota; Viridiplantae; Streptophyta; Magnoliopsida; Solanales; Solanaceae.